AAAUAAAUUUUUUAUGGUUUAAUAAUUUAUUAUAAAUUUAUUUUACAUAUAAAUUUUAGUGUUAAAUUUUAAUUAUUUAAAUAAUAAUUAAUUUAAUUAAGUAGUAAUUAAUAUUAAAAAUUUAAGUAAUUAAGAUUUAGUAAUAUUUAAAUUAAAAACUAAUUUUGUGCCAGCAGUUGCGGUUAAACAAAAUUUAAAUUAAAUUUUAUUGGUAAUUAAUAAAUAAUUUAUAAUUAUAUUUUAAAUUUUAAAUUAUUAAGUGAAAUUUUAAUUUAAUUAAAAUUUAUAAUAAUAUUUAUGAUUUGAUAUUUUUUAUGAUAAACUAGGAUUAGAUACCCUAUUAUAAAAAUUUAAAUUAAUAAUACUAAAAUAGUAUAUAAUUAUUUAUUGAAACUUAAAUAAUUUGGCAGUAUUUUAGUUCAUUUAGAGGAAUCUGUUUAUUAAUUGAUAAUCCACGAAUAAAUUUACUUAAUUUAUUUAAUUUGUAUAUCGUUGUUAAUAAAUAUUUUUUAAUAAAAAUAAUAUUUUAAAAUUUUUAUAUUAAAAUUAAAUCAGAUCAAGAUGCAGUUUAUAAUUAAGAAUAUAAUGGAUUACAAUAAAUUUAUUUAAAUGAAUAUUAAUUUUUAAAAAUUAAUUGAAAUUGGAUUUAAAUGUAAUUUUAAUUAGUUUAUUAAAAUGAUUUAUAAUUAAAAUAUGUACAUAUUGCCCGUCACUUUCAUUAAUAAAUUGAAAUAAGUCGUAACAAAGUAGAGAUACUGGAAAGUGUUUCGUAGAGAUA
Molecule: non-coding RNA, 778 nt
Filed under: Oreta fuscopurpurea
Lineage: Eukaryota; Metazoa; Arthropoda; Insecta; Lepidoptera; Drepanidae
Source: RNAcentral